Molecule: ribosomal RNA, 252 nt
Filed under: uncultured bacterium
Lineage: Bacteria
Description: partial 16S ribosomal RNA
Rfam family: Bacterial small subunit ribosomal RNA
Source: RNAcentral
ACGUAGGUGGCAAGCGUUGUCCGGAAUUAUUGGGCGUAAAGCGCGCGCAGGCGGCCUUUUAAGUCUGAUGUGAAAGCCCCCGGCUCAACCGGGGAGGGUCAUUGGAAACUGGAAGGCUUGAGUACAGAAGAGAAGAGUGGAAUUCCAUGUGUAGCGGUGAAAUGCGUAGAGAUGUGGAGGAACACCAGUGGCGAAGGCGACUCUUUGGUCUGUAACUGACGCUGAGGCGCGAAAGCGUGGGGAGCAAACAGG